This 301-nucleotide ribosomal RNA is filed under the name uncultured bacterium. RNAcentral's name for it is "partial 16S ribosomal RNA". It matches the Rfam family "Bacterial small subunit ribosomal RNA", at positions 509 to 807 of the family's 1533-position model. The record is from RNAcentral.
CAGCCGCCGCGGUAAUACAGAGGGUGCAAGCGUUAAUCGGAAUUACUGGGCGUAAAGCGCGCGUAGGUGGUUCGCCAAGUUGGAUGUGAAAUCCCCGGGCUCAACCUGGGAACUGCAUCCAAAACUGGCGAGCUAGAGUAUGGUAGAGGGUGGUGGAAUUUCCUGUGUAGCGGUGAAAUGCGUAGAUAUAGGAAGGAACACCAGUGGCGAAGGCGACCACCUGGGCUCAUACUGACACUGAGGUGCGAAAGCGUGGGGAGCAAACAGGAUUAGAUACCCCUGUAGUCCCUGUCUCUUAUAC